AGCCCGCUUACCAUGCAGUCGAGGGGCAGCAUUUUAGUUUGCUUGCAAACUAAAGAUGGCGACCGGCGCACNGGNUGAGUAACACGCUAUCCAACCUGCCGAUAACUCGGGGAUAGCCUUUCGAAAGAAAGAUUAAUAUCCGAUAGUAUAUUAAAACCGCAUGGUUUUACUAUUAAAGAAUUUCGGUUAUCGAUGGGGAUGCGUUCCAUUAGUUUGUUGGCGGGGUAACGGCCCACCAAGACUACGAUGGAUAGGGGUUCUGAGAGGAAGGUCCCCCACAUUGGAACUGAGACACGGUCCAAACUCAUACGGGAGGCAGCAGUGAGGAAUAUUGGUCAAUGGACGAGAGUCUGAACCAGCCAAGUAGCGUGAAGGAUGACUGCCCUAUGGGUUGUAAAAUUUCUUUUAUAUGGGAAUAAAGUAUUCCACGUGUGGGANUUUUGUAUGUACCCAUAUGAAUAAGGAUUCGGCUAACUCCGUGCCAGCAGCCGCGGUUAAUACGGAGGAUCCCGAGCGUUAUCCGGAAUUUUAUUGGGUUUUAAAGGGAGCGUAGGUGGAUUGUUAAGUCAGUUGUGAAAGUUUGCGGCUCAACCGUAAAAUUGCAGUUGAAACUGGCAGUCUUGAGUACAGUAGAGGUGGGCGGAAUUCGUGGUGUAGCGGUGAAAUGCUUUAGAUAUCACGAAGAACUCCGAUUGCGAAGGCAGCUCACUAGACUGCAACUGACACUGAUGCUCGAAAGUGUGGGUAUCAAACAGGAUUAGAUACCCUGGUAGUCCACACAGUAAACGAUGAAUACUCGCUGUUUGCGAUAUACAGUAAGCGGCCAAGCGAAAGCAUUAAGUAUUCCACCUGGGGAGUACGCCGGCAACGGUGAAACUCAAAGGAAUUGACGGGGGCCCGCACAAGCGGAGGAACAUGUGGGUUUAAUUCGAUGAUACGCGAGGAACCUUACCCGGGCUUAAAUGGCAUUUGAAUAAUCUGGAAACAGGUUAGCCCCAAGGCAAAUGUGAAAGGUGCUGCAUGGUUGUCGUCAGCUCGUGCCGGGAGGUGUCGGCUUAAGUGCCAUAACGAGCGCAACCCUUAUCUUUAGUUACUAACAGGUCAUGCUGAGGACUCUAGAGAGACUGCCGUCGUAAGAUGUGAGGAAGGUGGGGAUGACGUCAAAUCAGCACGGCCCUUACGUCCGGGGCUACACACGUGUUACAAUGGGGGGUACAGAAGGCAGCUACCUGGCGACAGGAUGCUAAUCCCAAAAACCUCUCUCAGUUCGGAUCGAAGUCUGCAACCCGACUUCGUGAAGCUGGAUUCGCUAGUAAUCGCGCAUCAGCCAUGGCGCGGUGAAUACGUUCCCGGGCCUUGUCCCCUAAAAANCGUCAAGCCAUGAAAGCCGGGGGUAACCUGAAGUACGUAACCGCAAGGAGCUCCCUAGGG
RNAcentral lists this ribosomal RNA (1431 nucleotides) under bacterium NLAE-zl-G46. RNAcentral describes it as "bacterial SSU rRNA". It matches the Rfam family "Bacterial small subunit ribosomal RNA". The record is from RNAcentral.